CGCUCGGGGCGCUGCGCUCGCCGCCGUGCUCCCCGGCGACGAUGACGAACCUGCAACGGACGGAGCUGGGCGCCUCCCCACGGUCUUCCUCCUCGGCCUGCUCGUGGGUGCCGCGGUGCUUGCGGAGGCACUGCAGAUCCCCGCCGACCAGGCAACGCUGGCGCUCGGGGCGCUCGCCGCCGUGCUCCCCGGCGACGACGACGACCCCGCAACGGACGGAGCUAGGCGCCUCCCCGCCCCCAUCUGUCUACUCCGUGCAGGCCAGCUACGCCCAUCCUGGAGGCCGACAUGCCCUCUCCGUCCGAAAUCCCCUUGCCCUGGCCCUGCUCGCUACAUGGUGCUGAACAUUCAACCAAGGAGGGGUGGUGCCUCUUCUCCGGCCUGUGCAUACCAUCCCCAACGCCAACAUCAAAGAGGGAUGAUGUGAAGGGGGCGGCGGCCCGCUGGAACUGGAGGACCAGCACCGAGGGCCUGCCGCGCGGGAUCGUCGAGACGAGCUCCGACAUGUUCCUCCGCCCGCUCUGGGACUCUACCGCCAAGCACACCAACACCAAGGGCAGGGCAGACAACAUGUGCCGUCAACCGUUGAGAGUUCAGCUGUCACCAAAUGAGCAGCUUGCUGUUGAAGAAACCUUCAAGUUGUACUUGAUGUUUCAAUCUUAUAAUUGCAGGUGUAUUCACCUCAUCAUACCAUCGGUUCUAAUCAAGUUUUGCUUCUCUUAACUAGGAUGGAUGUGCUGCAGGCCACAGUCACUACCCGGAAGGAGAUGUCGGGGUUGUUAUUGACUGGGAGGAGGCAAGGAGCAGGAGGCAGCAUGGGAGGCAGCAGGAGAGCUUGUAGAUGGUGCCUCGCCAGUUGGACGGCGUUCAGGCGCAACCCCGACACGCACUGACUACUGCCUCGGCUACAACCUCCCUCGGUUAGCUCCAUCUUCCUUUUGCUCCUCUGCUUCGGCUACUGUUUGGGACAUGGCCGUGGCUAUAUUGAUGUGGUGCUCAUCUGGUUGAUGCUCUAUGCCCUACUCAUGCAUCGGUUCCUACUUGAGCUCUGUAGUUGUGGAUCCAUGCUAUCUUAGGGUUUACAGGCUGCUGUUCAUGUUUAGUUGCUAUCAUAGGAGCUCAUGUGAUACUCUGGUUACAUGUGGAUGUCCUGGUCCUAUAGCUAUGCUCCUGGAUUUGCUAGAUUGAUCGGUAGUGUUCAUGCUAGGGUGAUGAUGAUUAGCCGUUGCUGAAAUAAGUGUGCCUUUGAGCAAUCGAGACACCUGUGGGUAUCAAGUUGGAUCCUCCCUCUUAUCUCUAUAAUCCUUUUUGAUCCUGUGAUAUUUGUUGUUGUCCUUGGAUGGUCAUUCUUGUUGAGUGAUAACAAGGGCAGCUCUACUGUAUCAACAGAUUGAUCUGGUGAUAAGAGAUGACAUGAGUAUGUUAUAUGAUCGAGGAAAGGCGAAUCUGAGCCCACUAUGCAAUUAACCCUGAAACCUUUAUUUUUGUAUUUAAACGUGUUGCUUAUCCACAUCAAGAAAUAAGAGAUGGAUGUUCCACCGAGCCUCCUCAGAGCUCAGCGAUUCUCGGCCGUUGGAUCGUUUCCCUUGAUGCGUUUUCACUCGUUGGAUCGAGAUCUGGAGAAGGCUGGGCUGUUGGAUCUGGGAUCAACACUGCUGGAAUGAAUAGUUUCACUCCAUCCAUGCCACCGCGGGACGGUGCAAACCUAGCUGCCGCCUCCUCUCUCGCUUGCUCCUGCAGCCGUCUCCCUCCCUCCCAUGCAGGUGGCUCCCACCAGCCACGGCGACGGUGGCAGCGGCCACGGAGGAGGGCGGCAGAUCAACGCCGCCAGCGAUGGCGUCCGUGGCGGCCAUGCAAUGAACCCUGAACCAGUUUUUUAUUUGUAUUUAAAGGUGUUGCUUAUUUAUGCUCAAGUGGUGUUCGUGCUAGGGCGAUGAUGAUUACCUGGGUGGAAUUAGUGUGCCUUUGAGCAAUCGAGGAACCUGUGGGUAUCAAGUUGGAUCCUCCCUCUUGUCUCUAGAAUCCUUUUGGGUCAUGUGAUACUUGUUGUUGUCCUUGGAUGGUCAUUCUUGUUGAGUGAUAACCAGCGCAGCUCUACUGUAUAAACAGAUUGAUCUAGUGAUAAGAGAUGACAGUGGUAGGUUAUAUGAUCGAGGAAAGGGGAAUCUGAGCCCACUAUGCAAUAAAACUUCAGCUACCUCCCCUAAUGUGUUUAGUAUUGAAGGAAAAAGAGAACUUUUCAUGUCUUGCUGCUUCAAAAUUCCAAAAAGGUUCAUUCUUCCUUUGCUGGUUACUUCACCAUGAUUUUUUGUUUUGCUUUGGUUCUGGUUGAGAUACUAAAGGUUGUUUACUAAAGGUUGUUUAUAUAUGAAAAUAAUAGACACUUGUAGUUUUGUAUGCCUCAACUGUAGCUUAGGAUCCAGUGUUGUAAUGCAUGCUUUGCCUAAUUAAAAAUAACUCUAAUUAAUAAUAGUGGUUCUUUCCUUCUGAUUACCUCUUCCUGUUUGUAUGAGGCGCCACCUCUCUUGUCAUCCUGGUCACUGCCUAGCCACUUUCUUCGAUCCAGAGGCUUGUGCCACUACAGGAUUUGAAUGGGGUUCAUUGUGUGAAAUUGGACCCUGCACUGCUACUGUGAACUCAUCCAUGCUGACAGCCGGCUCCAUGCUACAACUGCUGCAGCCUGCAGGGCGUUGAUGUCUCAAAGCAGUAGUGUACUGAGUGACAUGAGGUGAUCGUGCAGAGUUUGACAAAUUUGAAAUGCCGCAAUUUCAACACAUUAGUCACAUUAUUUAGUAUAGGCGUUGCUAUUUUGGUAUGCCAUGCCAAUUUUCUUUUAUCAAGAUUACUUCUUCCUUUAUAAAGUUCAUGUACAUUCCUUACCAUGAACGGUGGCGUCAUGGGGUAGUACAUCAUAAGAUACCUAACAGUUUGAGUUAUUUAUGUUGACUCUGCACUGAGACAUAUGGUUUAAAUCUUCACUUGGAGGACAGAUCUAUGGCCAAAUCCUGGAGCACAUGUAUCUGUAUAUCUCGGUCAAUUUCACCGACAAAUAUCUCCGCUGCUAUAUUCGCCCAAAGCUUUAUGACUUGCCAAUAAAAUCUGCAGAUGGAAAUAUGUGUAUCAAAGCCCACCUCAUCAAAUGAGUUGAUAACAGAAUAAACCAAAGGCUGGGCAUACUUCUUCCAUGCAGCUAAUAUGAAGGAAGGAAUAAUAUAUGCCUUCGCCUUCAAGCGCUGCUACAGUCGCCUUCCUCUCACAAUGCACGCCCUCUGAAAAUCAUUUUCAAUCUACUUCGCCUUCAAGCAGUACAGUAAUCUUAGGCAUCUCACUGUCCACGCCCUCUGAACAUAUGUUCAAUUGAUGUUCAGUCUACCAAUCUACCUAAAUAGCCUAUGAAUUUGUGUGUGUAUGGCCUCUACUAGAAACCUGUUUGCUUUUGGCACUAGACUCUGCUGGUCAUGUAUAAAUUUGGAAUACAUAAUGCUAUGUUAAAUUCGUCUAAGAUAUCUAUGUCGACUGCAUCUAAUCUCUACUGUUCAA
This is a long non-coding RNA of Triticum aestivum (bread wheat), 3540 nucleotides long. RefSeq lists it as uncharacterized. The record is from RefSeq and is a predicted model, not a curated record. The transcript is spliced from 9 exons. Lineage: Eukaryota; Viridiplantae; Streptophyta; Magnoliopsida; Poales; Poaceae.